AUUGUGGGCUGGAGCCCGUCCUGCCACACUCAUUGCCUGAAGUUAGCUCUGCCUGCCCUGGGACGUCUUCCUGGGGGCUUGGAAAUUGCCCCGGAACUUUCCGCCAGACCGCGGUGUACCAGGACCUCCGGGAGGUGUUCAAAGGUUCGACCUCGGGGCAGGGGAUUCCAGUACCUGGUUUACAGGGAGGGUUGGGUCUUACCUUAAACGUGAUAAUACCAGGCAGUGUCAGAGGAAGGUCCUAAAAAUUGUCAAAGACUCCAGCUACCCUAGUCAUAGACCGUUCUCUCUGCUACCGCACAGGAACCAGUACCGGAGCGCCAAGUCUUGGUCCAAGAGGCUUCUAAACAGCUUCUACCCCCAAGCCAUGAGACUCCUGAACAUCUAAUCAAAUGGCUACCCGGACUAUUUGCAUUGCCUCUCAACCUUUUACACUGCUGCUACUCUGUUAUUAUCUAUGCAUAGUCACUUUAAUAACUCUACCUACAUCAAAUCAAACUUUAUUUGCCACAUGCGCUUAAUACAAGUGUAGACUUUACUGUGAAAUUACUCACAAGCCCUUAACCAACAGUGUAGUUCAAGAAAAAUGUAAUAUUUACGAAGUAGGCUAAAUUUAAAAGUAAUAAUAAAAAGUAACACAAUAAGAAUAACGAGGCUAUAUACAGGGGGCACCAGAACCGAGUCAGUGUGCAGGGGUACAGGCAAGUUUAGGUGAUCUGUACAUGUAGGUGGGGGUGAAGUGACUAUGCAUAGAUAAACAAACAGCGAGUAGCAGCAGUGUACAAGAGGGGAGGGGGUGUCAAUGUAAAUUGUCCGAUGCGGUUGCAGAGAAAACAGUCUAUAACUUGGGUGACUGGAGUCUCUGACAAUUUUAUGGGCUUUCCUGACACCACCCAUUAUAUAGGUCCUGGAUGGCAGGAAGCUUGGCCACAGUGAUGUACUGGGCCGUAUGCACUACCCUCUGUAGCGCCUUACGGUCAAAUGCCGAGCAGUUGCCAUACCAGGCCGUGAUGCAACCGGUCAGGAGGCUCUCAAUGGUGCAGCUAUAGAACCUUUUGAGGAUCUGGGGGCCCAUACCAAAUCUUUUGAGUCUCCUGAGGGGGAAAAGGGUUUUGUCGUGCCCUCUUCACGACUGUCUUGGUAUGUUUGGACCAUGUUAGUUUGUUGGUGAUGUGUAGACCAUGUACACCAAGGAACUUGAGACUCUCAACCCGCUCCACUACAGCCCCGUCGAUGUUAAUGGGGGCCUGUUCGGCCCGCCUUUUCCUGUAGUCCACGAUCAGCUCCUUUGUCUUGCUCACAUUGAGGGAGAGGUUGUUGUCCUGGCACUACACUGCCAGUUCUCUGACCUCCCUAUAGGCCGUCUCAUCGUUGUCGGGGUACACAUUACCUCGACUAACCGGAGCCCCCUCACAUUGACUCUGUACCGGUACUCCCUGUAUAUAGCCUCACUAUUGUUAUUUUACUGUUGAAUUAUUUCUUACUUUUAUUUCUUAUUUUCUAGUUAUUUUUCUUAACUGCAUUGUUGGUUUAGGGCUUGAUGGUAAGCAUUUCACUGUCAGGUUUACACCUAUUGUAUUCGGCACAUGUGACAAAUCAAAUUUGAUGAUACCGGUAUGGUAGACCCCAGUCAGUGAGGUUGACCUAUAUCUGAUAUGUUUUUGUAAACUCAACCAAGUUAAGCCAGAUGGUACGCUUUUUGGGGAGGUAAGUGCUAGCAACAACAUUGUGUGAAGAUUUUGAAGAAUGCCUAUUGAGCCUUCAACCUUUCUAAUCUUGGGCACCCAGCGGAUCUGUCCACAAGAGAUUACCGCCUUUUGUGACAGUUAUUACUUGAAUCGGAUGUAGCUGACAAGAAACUAAACACUAAAUUGGUCAUUUCAGUGGAGUCUUUCCCAUUUGAAACAAGCAUGGUAACAAGCAUUUGUUGUUACACCUCUGUAAUAAGACUGCAAUUACCACCAGUUAGUUACCACAUGUUAGUGUAAAUAUGAGUUAUUACAAUUAACUCCAAUACUUUACAAUGUAAUAAGGACCCCUUAAAAUGAAGUGUUACCCAUUUUAUACAUCACCCUUUUGUAUCAAUUGCAAAGUGUAUUUGUAGUCUACUUUGUUUUGAAGUUAUAGCCAGUCACAGAGACGCCCACGGGAGGGCAAAAGAGCAUCCAACGACGCACUUAGCUGUUCUACGAGUGGUCUGAGGCAGGCGUUAGAUUACGAGCAUUUUCAAGUGCAACCUUAAUAAAUAUGGUUUUGGGAAA
Molecule: long non-coding RNA, 2261 nt
Organism: Oncorhynchus keta (chum salmon)
Lineage: Eukaryota; Metazoa; Chordata; Actinopteri; Salmoniformes; Salmonidae
Exons: 2
Source: RefSeq, a predicted model, not a curated record